GGGGGGGGCUUAUUUUGGGUUUACCUGAUUACAUCCUGUUAUUUAAGGAGAGUGGGAAGAGGCCGCUCGGUCCUAAUCUACCUGUUCCGGAGGCAAGGUGUGUCCGGUUGGGAGAGCACGGCGUUUCUCCUGUUACUGUGAGAGGGCUUUUGAGGGUGGAUCCGGCAGCGGGGCCGAUUUAACAGGGAAGACGGCUGGUUUCCUGGGAGAGCAAUCUAUUGGGCCCGUGUAUUUGUGCUGACCACUGUUUGUUUUAGGCUUGUUUUGUUGCAUUUGUUUCAUUUACGAACUGCUCAAGGGGUUUGGUGUAACUUUUCUAGCUGGCCAGCUAUGUAUGGUAAGAUAAGAGGGAUUUGCGGCUGGCUGGCUAGUUAAGAUUUUCUUCUUUUUGUUUGUUUGUUUCUUUAUGUGGUGUUGUCUAUGUCCACGUAACAGCCAGCCACGUAACAGCCAGGUGUUACAAUUCGUAAGCUCUUCCUUCACUGCGUGCUGUGGGGUUUCCCGUGAUGAUUGAAGUGUGUUGUGCGAGUGUUGUGCAAUAGCUUAGGACAUACAAUCACUAGUGUGACUACAAUCACUUUAUUGUGUUUGCUUAUUAUUAGUAGAGCUGUGGUGAUUGUAAUAGUGUUCUUUUGGCUGAGUAACAUCAAUAGCGGGCGGGCUGUGUUGUGGGUCAUUGAUGUUUGUUUUAUAUCGUCCAUGUCUGCUAUAUCUUUGUGCUAAAUUAAGAAAAAUAAAAGUAUUUAUUUUUAUAUGAGAGAUGCACUGAUGUCUACUCCGUUUGUAAUUGAUAUCUAUUCCGAUUCCGUAAUUACCAGAGCUCCCCUGUGCUCUAGGUUGAAACCCAGGGGUGGCGUAGUCUCUCUCACUCUCUCUUGACAGAGGGUGCGACACUUGACACGUGCAGAAGCAGUCUGUUGCUAUUGUAGGCUAUAAAUAUGAUUAAUGGUAAAGUAAUUAACUAUGAGAUCGCUAAGAGUAACGUUAGGGAUAGUCUACAGUGAACAUGACAGGUGUGCUAUGCAACACCACUG
Molecule: long non-coding RNA, 1034 nt
Organism: Alosa sapidissima (American shad)
Lineage: Eukaryota; Metazoa; Chordata; Actinopteri; Clupeiformes; Clupeidae
Exons: 3
Source: RefSeq, a predicted model, not a curated record